This 400-nucleotide ribosomal RNA is filed under the name uncultured bacterium. RNAcentral describes it as "bacterial SSU rRNA". It matches the Rfam family "Bacterial small subunit ribosomal RNA", at positions 356 to 773 of the family's 1533-position model. The record is from RNAcentral.
GGGGAAUAUUGGACAAUGGGCGCAAGCCUGAUCCAGCCAUGCCGCGUGAGUGAUGAAGGCCCUAGGGUUGUAAAGCUCUUUCGGCGGGGAAGAUAAUGACGGUACCCGCAGAAGAAGCCCCGGCAAACUUCGUGCCAGCAGCCGCGGUAAUACGAAGGGGGCUAGCGUUGCUCGGAAUUACUGGGCGUAAAGCGCACGUAGGCGGAUUCUUAAGUCAGGGGUGAAAUCCCGGAGCUCAACUCCGGAACUGCCUUUGAUACUGAGAAUCUCGAGUCCGGGAGAGGUGAGUGGAACUCCGAGUGUAGAGGUGAAAUUCGUAGAUAUUCGGAAGAACACCAGUGGCGAAGGCGGCUCACUGGCCCGGUACUGACGCUGAGGUGCGAAAGCGUGGGGAGCAAAC